RNAcentral lists this small RNA (107 nucleotides) under Marmota monax (woodchuck). The record is from RNAcentral. Lineage: Eukaryota; Metazoa; Chordata; Mammalia; Rodentia; Sciuridae.
GUUGGGCGUGGUGGCGCACACCUGUGAUCCCAAAAGCUUGGGAGGCUGAGGCAGGAGGAUCACAAAUUCAAGGGCAGCCUCAGCAACUUAGUGAGACCCUGUUUCAA